RNAcentral lists this ribosomal RNA (468 nucleotides) under uncultured bacterium. RNAcentral describes it as "partial 16S ribosomal RNA". It matches the Rfam family "Bacterial small subunit ribosomal RNA", at positions 28 to 507 of the family's 1533-position model. The record is from RNAcentral.
GACGAACGCUGGCGGCGUGCUUAACACAUGCAAGUCGAACGGAAAGGCCCUGCUUUUGUGGGGUGCUCGAGUGGCGAACGGGUGAGUAACACGUGAGUAACCUGCCCUUGACUUUGGGAUAACUUCAGGAAACUGGGGCUAAUACCGGAUAGGAGCUCCUGCUGCAUGGGGGGGGUUGGAAAGUUUCGGCGGUUGGGGAUGGACUCGCGGCUUAUCAGCUUGUUGGUGGGGUAGUGGCUUACCAAGGCUUUGACGGGUAGCCGGCCUGGGAGGGUGGCCGGCCACAUUGGGCCUGAGAUACGGCCCAGACUCCUACGGGAGGCAGCAGUGGGGAAUAUUGCCCAGUGGGCGGAAGCCUGAUGCAGCAACGCCGCGUGCGGGAUGACGGCCUUCGGGUUGUAAACCGCUUUCGCCUGUGACGAAGCGUGAGUGACGGUAAUGGGUAAAGAAGCACCGGCUAACUACGUG